Molecule: transfer RNA, 68 nt
Filed under: Marmota monax (woodchuck)
Lineage: Eukaryota; Metazoa; Chordata; Mammalia; Rodentia; Sciuridae
Description: tRNA.Ala
Rfam family: tRNA (bases 5-65)
About the family: Transfer RNA (tRNA) molecules are approximately 80 nucleotides in length. Their secondary structure includes four short double-helical elements and three loops (D, anti-codon, and T loops).
Source: RNAcentral
GGAUUGUAGCUCAGUGGUAGAGCGCUUGUCUAGCAUGUGUGAGGCACUGGGUUCAAUCCUCAGCACCA